AACGAACGCUGGCGGCAUGCCUAACACAUGCAAGUCGAACGAGACCUUCGGGUCUAGUGGCGCAGGGGUGCGUAACGCGUGGGAACCUGCCCUUAGGUUCGGAAUAACUCCCCGAAAGGGGUGCUAAUACCGGAUAAUGUCUUCGGACCAAAGAUUUAUCGCCUUUGGAUGGGCCCGCGUUGGAUUCGCUAGUUGGUAGGGUAAAAGCCUACCAAGGCGACGAUCCAUAGCUGGUCGGAGAGGAUGCUAAGCCACACUGGGACUGAGACACGGACCAGACUCCUACGGGAGGCAGCAGUGGGGAAUAUUGGACAAUGGGCGAAAGCCUGAUAAAGCAAUGCCGCGUGAGUGAUGAAGGCCUUAGGGUUGUAAAGCUCUUUUACCCGGGAUGAUAAUGACAGUACCGGGAGAAUAAGCACCGGCUAACUACGUG
RNAcentral lists this ribosomal RNA (433 nucleotides) under uncultured bacterium. RNAcentral describes it as "partial 16S ribosomal RNA". It matches the Rfam family "Bacterial small subunit ribosomal RNA", at positions 29 to 507 of the family's 1533-position model. The record is from RNAcentral.